CCCAGCCCUAAAGGGCUGGGCUAUUUUAUGCCGUCCCUAGCGGGACU
Molecule: small RNA, 47 nt
Organism: Pirellula sp. SH-Sr6A
Lineage: Bacteria; Pseudomonadati; Planctomycetota; Planctomycetia; Pirellulales; Pirellulaceae
Rfam family: Acido-Lenti-1 RNA
Source: Rfam